AUUGAACGCUGGCGGCAGGCCUAACACAUGCAAGUCGAGCGGAUGAAGGGAGCUUUCUCCUGGAUUCAGCGGCGGACGGGUGAGUAAUGCCUAUGAAUCUGCCUGGUAGUGUGGUAUAACGUCCUGUAACGGGCGCUAAUACCGCAUACGUCCUUAGGUACAAAGUUGGGGUUCUUCGGACCUCACGCUAUCAGAUUAGCCUAGGUCGUAUUAGCUAGUUGGUGUGGUAAAGUCAUACCAAGGCGACGAUCCGUAACUGGUCUGAGAGGAUGAUCAGUCACACUGGAACUGAGACACGGUCCAGACUCCUACGGGAGGCAGCAGUGGGGAAUAUUGGACAAUGGGCGAAAGCCUGAUCCAGCAAUGCCGCGUGUGUGAAGAAGGUCUUCGGAUUGUAAAGCACUUUAAGUUGGGAGGAAGGGAAGUAAGAUAAUACCUUGCUGUUUUGACGUUACCAAAAGAAUAAGCACCGGCUAACUUCGUG
This 484-nucleotide ribosomal RNA is filed under the name uncultured bacterium. Its description in RNAcentral is "partial 16S ribosomal RNA". It matches the Rfam family "Bacterial small subunit ribosomal RNA", at positions 30 to 507 of the family's 1533-position model. The record is from RNAcentral.